CUUAGAUGGAAGUCAUGCAGCAGUAAGAAGCUCAAACUGUGGCUGAUGCCGAUUUCACAAGAGCGAUUGUUUGUCAUGUUGGUACUCAAUCGUCUUGGUACAUGUCGUCCUGAACCACCGUCUAUAACGUGGUAAACUUAUCCGGAGCCCAAUUGGAAGGUAGCGAUCCUAACACCAAGCACUGUGGCUGGCCCAGAAGUUUAAGUCAAUAUUCUACUGACCUCAAAACUCGACUUCUUUUGCUUGUGAAAGCUUUCACAGAAGUGUUGUUGCAUUGAGAUUCUUGCAAGUACUGAAAUUCCCUGUAAAAUGUACAUCUAUUUCUCUCUUCUGUGGUUUUUUUCAGGGCUGCUAUUGCAAAUCUGGUCCUCCAGCAUCCACCUGUUCUCUGCACCUUCAGUACCCUUCAAUAAAUCACACCAUUUCUUAAAAAUAAAGGUGGACCUCAUCUGAUCAGUUGAAGUCUUGAAUAGAAUAAAAAGACUGACCCUCCCUUGAGUAAGAGGGAAUCUCGCCUGCCUGCCUUCAAACUGGGACAUUGGUUUUUUUCCUGCCUUUAGACUCAAACUGAUCAUUGGCUCUUUGUGGGAUUCACGCCUGGCAGCCUUUGGACUGGAAAUACACCAUCAGCUCUCCGGGUCUCCAGCUUGCCAGCCCACCCUGCAGAUCGUGGGACUUGUUGGCCUCCACAAUCAUGUGAACUAAUUCCUUAUAAUAAGUCUCUUUCUGUAUAUAUAUAUAUUUUUUAUUGGUUCUCUUUCUCUGGGGGAUCUUGAUUAAUUCGGAAGGUGAAAGGUGCAUCUGUUGGGUCUACUGCUUUCUCUGGCCAGCACACUGUGGUAGGCAGAAUUCUCAAAACAGCCCCCGAGGUCCACACCCUAAUCCUGAGAACCUGUGAAUGGGCUGAGAUCCCACUCCUGUGAUGCUCUGGUGCUAUGUGGCUCACUGGAUCUUAAAAUAGAGAGAUUGUCCAGGUGGCCCUAAUCUUAUCACAUAAACCCGGCUAAAGGCAGAGAGUUUUCUCUGGUUGGAAGUGUAGUGGAAGUCAGAGGAUUAGCGUGAGAGGGAGUCUAGAUGAGGGGUCUUGCCACAGGCUGUGAUGCUGUGAUGGGGCCUGGAAGGAAGCCUCUGGAAGGAACUGUGGAUGGCCCAUAGAAGUUGAGAGUGACUCCUGGCCAACAGUCAGGAGACAAAGACCUCAGUCCUACAACUGCAAGGGACUGAAUUCUGCCAAACCUGAGUGAGCUUGGAAGCAGAUUUUCCACACAGCCUGCAGAGGAGCACCCAGCCUGCUGACAUCUUGACUUCUGCCUGGAGAGACCCUAAGCGGAGAACCCAGGAGGACCCACCUGGACUUUGGACCUAUAGGAUUGGGAUAAUAAGUGGGUAUUGUUUUAAGAGCCAGUGGUAAUUUGUUACACAGAGUAGAAAACUGAUGCACAUAGACAAAGAGAUGUGGCUUCCUAUGGCAGCACUAGCAGAGAUUUAGGGGUGAGUCAUUGGUGUCAAGAGGCAGGCUGUAGGACGUCUGUUUCAGCUGGCAUAGACCUAGCAGGUAUAGUGACUCUGGAGCCAACAGUGCCAGUGGUGGCCUUCCUGUUUCCAGCUUUCCCAUUGUGGCAGAGGUUGGGGUUACUCUGGUAGGACAAUUCUACUGUGUUGUCCUUGGAUUCCAGGAGUGCCGUCUAGACUGUACUUAUCCAGCCCUUCUAAUGGUUUUGAGCACCCAAUUCCUCAUAUUAAAUCACUGCUUAAAUAUAAGAUACUCUGUUAUAUGCUACUGAACCUUGACUGUUAUAUCUUCAGAUCUCACCUACUUGUUAAAUACAAUCACAUCUGUCAGCUUAUUCAAAUCUCGGAAGCACUGACCACUCCUUACUUCCUGAAAAUCACUCUUCUUUUGUUUUUGAUGACAUCUCAUUCUCCUGGUUUCUCUUAUACAUUUCUUCUACUAAUUUUUACUCUUUUGUUCUGGCUCAUUUUCAUUCAACAAACGGGUGUUGAGUAUGUACCAGGUUGAAGACACUGUGUGUGCAAAGUGCAGGGACCCCAUCGAGAACUGAUCGUGGACCUUGCCCUCCAGGGACUUGUCCACAUGUAAACGAGUAACUUAGUGAGGCGAUACCAUCUAUAAUAGAGAUGGAUAAAAUGGACCCUGGAGAUCCAAAGAGGAAAACAUAUAACUCGGGGCGGUCAGGGAGCACAUUCCCGAAGAUGAUGGUACUCUGGGUGAGUAUUCUAGAGUAGACAUGUUUCAGAUAGACAAAGUAAGGAAGGGCGCUCCAGCCUGAAGGAACAGAGAGGGCAAAGUCAUGGAAGUUUGAAAAUGUGACAUAUUAAAGGAAUAAUGAGGAGUUUGCUGUGGCUGGAUUUCUGGGUGCAAAUGGGAGAUUGGUAGAGAAAUAAAGUCAGAAUUUGUAUAGAAAGUGACAUGUGGAUCAGAUCCUAGUAACAGAGUUUACUGGAGAUAGUUAUUAUACUAAAAUUCCUAACCUGUGAUGACUAUAUUCAAAUAAAGUCUGAACUCCUUUGUUUGGUUAAAAGGAUUGUUCAUCACCUGACUAACUCUCUAGUAUGCUCUCAUCCCAUUUUCCUCUUUGCUCCCUUCCAUUCACUCAUUUACUCUUUCAUUUAUUUAGUCAGAGAGGUGUGACUGGCGCAUAUCAGUAGCCUGGGCAGAUCAUUGAAAGGACUUUGGCUUUUGUUCUAGAGAAGAUGGAAAGUCAGUCAAGAGACCUGAUGUAAUUUACAUUUUAAAAGACUCACCCUGGCUACUGUCUGGAAUGGGGUGAGAGGCAAGAGUGUGAGCAAAGAGACGGAUAAGGAGGUUAUUGUAAUAAUCCAGAAAUGGCUGUAGCUUAGAUUGGGAUGGAAGUGGUGGAGAUAGGAGAAGGGUCAUGAUUCUGUACUUAUUUUAAAGGUAGAUUCUGUAUAUAUAAUAUGAUUUGCUGGUGGAUUGAAUGUGGGAUAUGAGAAAAAAGCAGAAUCAAGGAUGAUACCAAAGUUUUAGUUUCCAUUUGUGUGUUAGGGAUCAUGGGAAGAGAGGGUUUUAGGGGAAAUAUCACGGGUUUUUUUUAACACGGUGAUUUUGAGAUGCCUAUCAGACAUCCAAGCUCCACUUUGAGAUGCAGUUAGAUAUUGGCAUCUGGAGUUAGGGGAGAGUUUCAGGGAGUCUCAUGGGUGAUUCACCUGGUAUUUAAAGCUAUGAGAAAAAAAAUAUAUAAAAUAAAGCUAUGAGGUUAGAUGAGAUCAUCUAGGGAGUG
Equus caballus (horse) is the source of this 3263-nucleotide long non-coding RNA. The record is from Ensembl. NCBI's taxonomy places the organism in Eukaryota, Metazoa, Chordata, Mammalia, Perissodactyla, Equidae.